Molecule: ribosomal RNA, 645 nt
Filed under: uncultured bacterium
Lineage: Bacteria
Description: bacterial SSU rRNA
Rfam family: Bacterial small subunit ribosomal RNA
Source: RNAcentral
CAUCGAGCAGAGGGAAAAGGAGCAAUCCGCUUUGAGAUGGCCUCGCGUCCGAUUAGCUAGUUGGUGAGGUAACGGCCCACCAAGGCGACGAUCGGUAGCCGGACUGAGAGGUUGAACGGCCACAUUGGGACUGAGACACGGCCCAGACUCCUACGGGAGGCAGCAGUGGGGAAUAUUGCACAAUGGGGGAAACCCUGAUGCAGCGACGCCGCGUGGAGGAAGAAGGUCUUCGGAUUGUAAACUCCUGUUGUUGGGGAAGAUAAUGACGGUACCCAACAAGGAAGUGACGGCUAACUACGUGCCAGCAGCCGCGGUAAAACGUAGGUCACAAGCGUUGUCCGGAAUUACUGGGUGUAAAGGGAGCGCAGGCGGGAAGACAAGUUGGAAGUGAAAUCUAUGGGCUCAACCCAUAAACUGCUUUCAAAACUGUUUUUCUUGAGUAGUGCAGAGGUAGGCGGAAUUCCCGGUGUAGCGGUGGAAUGCGUAGAUAUCGGGAGGAACACCAGUGGCGAAGGCGGCCUACUGGGCACCAACUGACGCUGAGGCUCGAAAGUGUGGGCAGCAAACAGGAUUAGAUACCCUGGUAGUCCACACCGUAAACGAUGAUUACGAGGUGUUGGAGGAUUGACCCCUUCAGUGCCGCAG